RNAcentral lists this ribosomal RNA (208 nucleotides) under uncultured bacterium. RNAcentral's name for it is "partial 16S ribosomal RNA". It matches the Rfam family "Bacterial small subunit ribosomal RNA", at positions 568 to 774 of the family's 1533-position model. The record is from RNAcentral.
CACGUAGGCGGAUAUUUAAGUCAGGGGUGAAAUCCCAGAGCUCAACUCUGGAACUGCCUUUGAUACUGGGUAUCUUGAGUAUGGAAGAGGUAAGUGGAAUUCCGAGUGUAGAGGUAGAAAUUCGUAGAUAUUCGGAGGAACACCAGUGGCGAAGGCGGCUUACUGGUCCAUUACUGACGCUGAGGUGCGAAAGCGUGGGGAGCAAACA